CUCAACCGUGGAGGGUCAUUGGAAACUGGGGAACUUGAGUGCAGAAGAGGAGAGUGGAAUUCCACGUGUAGCGGUGAAAUGCGUAGAGAUGUGGAGGAACACCAGUGGCGAAGGCGACUCUCUGGUCCGUAACUGACGCUGAGGCGCGAAAGCGUGGGGAGCGAACAGGAUUAGAUACCCUGGUAGUCCACGCCGUAAACGAUGAGUGCUAAGUGUUAGAGGGUUUCCGCCCUUUAGUGCUGCAGCAAACGCAUUAAGCACUCCGCCUGGGGAGUACGGUCGCAAGACUGAAACUCAAAGGAAUUGACGGGGGCCCGCACAAGCGGUGGAGCAUGUGGUUUAAUUCGAAGCAACGCGAAGAACCUUACCAGGUCUUGACAUCCUUCGCUACUUCUAGAGAUAGAAGGUUCCCCUUCGGGGGACGA
RNAcentral lists this ribosomal RNA (425 nucleotides) under uncultured bacterium. RNAcentral's name for it is "bacterial SSU rRNA". It matches the Rfam family "Bacterial small subunit ribosomal RNA", at positions 608 to 1029 of the family's 1533-position model. The record is from RNAcentral.